GAGAAUGAGAAGGAGGAGUAACAAAAGUGAAAACAAUUUGAAAUAGAUUUCAUUUUUUAGUUUUUGUUUUCACUUUUGUUACUCCUCAUUUCCAUCU
RNAcentral lists this microRNA precursor (97 nucleotides) under Prunus dulcis (almond). RNAcentral's name for it is "sRNA ncRNA". Lineage: Eukaryota; Viridiplantae; Streptophyta; Magnoliopsida; Rosales; Rosaceae. The record is from RNAcentral.